UACGGGGGGGGCAAGCGUUGUUCGGAAUUACUGGGCGUAAAGGGCUCGUAGGCGGCCAACUAAGUCGGAUGUGAAAUCCCCAGGCUCAACCUGGGAACUGCAUCCGAUACUGGAUGGCUUGAAUUCGGGAGAGGGAUGCAGAAUUCCAGGUGUAGCGGUGAAAUGCGUAGAUAUCCGGAGGAAUACCGGUGGCGAAGGCGGCAUCCUGGACCGACAUUGACGCUGAGGAGCGAAAGCCAGGGGAGCAAACGGG
RNAcentral lists this ribosomal RNA (253 nucleotides) under uncultured bacterium. RNAcentral's name for it is "partial 16S ribosomal RNA". It matches the Rfam family "Bacterial small subunit ribosomal RNA", at positions 524 to 776 of the family's 1533-position model. The record is from RNAcentral.